RNAcentral lists this ribosomal RNA (335 nucleotides) under uncultured bacterium. RNAcentral describes it as "partial 16S ribosomal RNA". It matches the Rfam family "Bacterial small subunit ribosomal RNA", at positions 338 to 690 of the family's 1533-position model. The record is from RNAcentral.
CCUACGGGAGACAGCAGUAGGGAAUAUUGCUCAAUGGGGGAAACCCUGAAGCAGCAACGCCGCGUGGAGGAUGAAGGUCUUCGGAUUGUAAACCCCUUUUGUUAGUGAAGAUAAUGACGGUAUCUACCGAAUAAGCACCGGCUAACUCCGUGCCAGCAGCCGCGGUAAUACGGAGGGUGCAAGCGUUACUCGGAAUCACUGGGCGUAAAGGGCGCGUAGGCGGGAUAGCAAGUCAGAUGUGAAAUCCUAUGGCUUAACCAUAGAACUGCAUUUGAAACUGUUAUUCUAGAGUAUGGGAGAGGUAGGUGGAAUUCUUGGUGGAGGAGUAAAAUCCG